CAUAUUUCUCCAGGUCCCUCAUAAGAUCGAUACAAGCAACAUGGAGAAAUGUUGGCCUGCUGGAAGUAGAAGUGCAGAGACUCCCUCCUGUGAGAGAAUAAGGCAUGGAGGAUUCGCAGAACUGUAUCCUCAGAGGUCUCAUAAUGAUACCAUCUUUUAUUCCUUUAACAGCCUCAUCAGUGCCCUGAAUGCGGUGACUUUCGUCAGGACAGCAUUCUCCAUUCUGGCUGUGGGUGACGGCCUGAGCCCCGGUGGAGUAUUCCUGCUGGCCUCAGACGGCCCUCCCAGGUAAAACCUGGGGCCAGCCUGUCCACAAUCUGAAAUGCCCUCCAGAUUAUUCCAAAUGUGCAUGUUAAUGACCAUCAGAUCUGAGAGCUGGUGGAGAAGUUAAGAUAAAUAGAGAAAAUCCUGACCGUGUUUGCUUUGGACCACA
Molecule: long non-coding RNA, 433 nt
Organism: Piliocolobus tephrosceles (Ugandan red Colobus)
Lineage: Eukaryota; Metazoa; Chordata; Mammalia; Primates; Cercopithecidae
Exons: 2
Source: RefSeq, a predicted model, not a curated record